AUGUAACAUCAAUCCGUCAGUCAGUCAGUCAGUCGGUCCAAACUGGAAUCUUCUCCGUUCUGGAUCGGCUGUGGUCUGCAGCACCACCUGCUCUGCUCUACCUCUCUCUCUCUCUCUCUCUCUCUCUCUCUCUCUCUCUGCUCUCCCUCCCUCCCUCAGCCCGCGGGAUCCGUGUUUUGCAUCGCUCCCCAAUUUGCAUUUAUUCCUCAGACUUUCCGUGCGGCGCUCCAGCCGUUCUUCUAGCGAGAGGUCGUACAACGGUGGCAGUAUCCACGCGGCCCGCGUUUACAGAACAAUACGCACAGUAGAACCCACUGGAACAUCUGAAUAAUGUUGCCGAAGCUUUCCGAAAGUACAAAUUGAGCGGUUUUUGGGUGUUUUUUUAAAAUCCAUUUGGAUCAAUCGCGUUUGGUUGCGCACCAGACGAGACACGUGCCUUCGAGGUAAACAGACAGCAGGACUGGACAGCCAGAUAGUAGCCUUGGUUAACGUUACAUUGUUUUUCUCCUGCGUUUUAAGCGUGCAUAAGCGGUUAUAACGCCACCAUAGUGGACGUAGACGUCGAGCGGAGGUUCAUUUUGUUUUCGUUUGUGCACCUUGGUUGAUAAUUGAGACGCAGUUGGACAUGUCGGAAGUACUACAAGACAAAAUGAGUCAUUAUGGAAAUGAGGAUGACGAGGGACACCUUUCCUUCACCUGUCGUCUCCAAGACACCAACAACUUCUUCAGCGGCUCGCAGGGGGGAAAACGCCCGCCCAAACUUGGACAGAUAGGCAGAAGCAAACGAGUUGUCGAGGACGAGAACGGUGUUGACGAGGCGCUAAAAAACGGGACAGAGAAAACACAGACAGAGGCUUAAACACAUCAACCCCCGGAAGGACAUAGAUUCUCAUUUUCUAUUUGAUCCAAAGACACUGUAUAUAAGCACUUUUACUCCAUGUGGCAGCAAGCACUUCCUGUCCCAUCUCCUCUCUCUCCCAGUCCUCAUGAUGAUCUCCUGAGACUUAUACUGGCAGGAUGGGGAAGCAGCCGAGAUGGAGACAGACAGAGAGAUGAAGACAGAGGUGGAGACAGAGAGAGUGAUGGAGACAGACAGAGAGAUGAAGACAGAGGUGGAGACAGAGAGAGUGAUGGAGACAGACAGAGAGAUGAAGACAGAGGUGGAGACAGAGAGAGUGAUGGAGACAGACAGAGAGAUGAAGACAGAGGUGGAGACAGAGAGAGUGAUGGAGACAGACAGAGAGAUGAAGACAGAGGUGGAGACAGAGAGAGUGAUGGAGACAGACAGAGAGAUGAAGACAGAGAGAGUGAUGGAGACAGACAGAGAGAUGAAGACAGAGGUGGAGACAGAGAGAUGAAGACAGAGAUGAAGAGAGAGGCGGAGAGAGAGAGACAGAGAUGAAGAGAGAGGCAGAGAGAGACGGAUGAAGAGAGAGGCGGAGACAGAGAGAGAGACAGAUACAGAGACAGAGAUAAAGAGAGAGGCAGAGACAGAGAUGAAGACAGAGAUAAAGAGAGAGGCGGAGACAGAGAGAGAGGCGGAGACAGAGAGAGGCGGAGACAGAGAUAAAGACAGAGAUAAAGAGAGAGGCAGAGACAGAGAUGAAGACAGAGACAGAGAUGAAGAGAGAGACAGAGAUGAAGACAGAGAUGAAGAGAGAGACAGAGAUGAAGAGAGAGACAGAGAUGAAGAGAGCGACAGAGAUGAAGAGAGAGGCGGAGACAGAGGCCCAGGUGAAAUAGGUGAAUUCUAUCAUCCAGGGUUUAGGCCCACAGAACUCUUCUAAAACAGGAAUGGCCUAAGAGAGCUACUGGGUGAGCAGCAGGCUUUUGCUCCAGCCCUACACUUUUUUUACACUAGUCAACCAUUGGUCGUACAAUCAAAACUCCUAAGCAGGCAGCCAACAAAUGUAGCCGUGUAGAAAGGGUCUUUCACACACCAGAUUCAGCCAAUCAAGUUCCUGGGUAGCAGGUGAUUAGUAGAAUCAGGUGUGUUUACAGUAUGUUUGGAGCAGCUAAACCAUGUAACCAGGAGAGGAUGAUGAAGGAGGAAGAGGAUGAAUCUAAGGUUCCAGCGGUAGAAAGAGACGAUGCUUUCGAACCCUCACAGAAAUCAGGGAAGGAACAGUAUAAAAACAGUAUAAAUGAUCUACUUAACUAAAGCACACAUUGUUAUAUCAAUCAAACCGUAUGAUAUUACAUAACCAUUCUUUCUGCUCUUGAUUCUUAUGACGACGAGUGCAAACAAAUAAUAUAGGAAACGUGUAAAUAAGAAAUGGUAGCCCCACGUUUUGUUAGCCUGGACACCAGUCUGUUCCUGCUGUCUUGUCAACUCCUUAUGGAAUUGUCAUGUUUGGCGUCAGAAUGAGUGAUAAAGAGUUGGCAAGACAGCACAAAUAGAUCUGGAAACCAGGCUAGCGUUUUGUUGCACAGAGGAGAAAAGAAGCGUGAAAUGGUUUGUUGUAAUCUAACAUAACGUGUGUGUGUAAAGAUACCUUAUUUAUUGACCCUUUGGAUACGUAUUUUCCAGUGCUCAAGGCCUGACUGAGGGACAGUUUUGUAUGUAGAGAAUUGCGAUGACAGAAUGAAUGAAAGCGAUUUCCCCUUUUUUACUUCUUAUGAAUUUUUAUGUCGCCUGAUCAGUUUUUGCAGCUAUAGAGUCAUUUAUAUACGUUAUACAGGACUGUACAUCACAUGUUUGUAAUGUUCCAAGAGGCUUAAGUCUGGAUCGUUAAAUACAACUGUACACCCUCCCCUAUUGAUAAACUAUUUCUAUUGCAUUGCGCAUUAUCGUGUGUGCCAAAUAUCAUGAGGGAUAAGCAGACCACUUGGUUGUUUAUGUUGUGCUUUCUAUACCGUUAUAAAUGUAGACAUUUUGUUCUUCUUCGGUUGUUGCCAUUGUUCAGGGCUAUUUCUUACCACUGAAUUACCAACGCAUGCAUGGCAGAAAUGGGUGGAUGCAUGGCAGAAAUGGGUUGAUGCAUGGCAGAAAUGGGUUGAUGCAUGGCAGAAAUGGAUUGAUGCAUGGCAACGUUCUAAAGAUGAUCUUAGUGUAUUCUGGAACACCUGGUACCCAGCUUUGAACGACUAACCUCCAGAACCAUCUUAAUACUACAUACCUUGUACUGUACUGUACUGUACUAUGAUCUUACUGAUUUGUACUGUAGCCUAAUAUCUUGUAAUAAAGAUUCUGAAGAAGAUAAUUAAGAAGUG
RNAcentral lists this long non-coding RNA (3213 nucleotides) under Salmo salar (Atlantic salmon). RNAcentral describes it as "lncRNA (ENSSSAG00000096230.1)". Lineage: Eukaryota; Metazoa; Chordata; Actinopteri; Salmoniformes; Salmonidae. The record is from RNAcentral.